GUAUACAUCCACAUACCACGUUGAAUACACCGGUUCUCGUCAGAUCACCGAAUUUAAGCAACGUUGGGCGCGGUCAGUACUUGGAUGGGUGACCGCCUGGAAACAUCGCGUGAUGUUGGCU
This 121-nucleotide ribosomal RNA is filed under the name Melitaea cinxia (Glanville fritillary). The record is from RNAcentral. Lineage: Eukaryota; Metazoa; Arthropoda; Insecta; Lepidoptera; Nymphalidae.